GAAAUGCGAUAAGUAAUUUGAAUUGCAGAAUUCAGUGAAUCAUCGAAUCUUUGAACGCACCUUGCGCUCCUUGGUAUUCCUUGGAGCAUGCCUGUUUGAGUAUCAUGAAAUCUUCAAAGUAAAUCUUUUGUUAACUCAAUUGGUUUCUACUUUGGUAUUGGAGGUCUUUGCAGCUUCACACCUGCUCCUCUUUGUUCAUUAGCUGGAUCUCAGUGUUAUGCUUGGUUCCACUCGGCGUGAUAAGUUAUCUAUCGCUGAGGACACUGUAAAAGGUGGCCAAGGUAAAUGCAGAUGAACCGCUUCUAAUAGUCCAUUGACUUGGACAAUACUUUUAUGAUCUGAUCUCAAAUCAGGUAGGACUACCCGCUGAACUUAAGC
This 378-nucleotide unclassified non-coding RNA is filed under the name plant metagenome. Its description in RNAcentral is "partial contains 5.8S ribosomal RNA, internal transcribed spacer 2, and large subunit ribosomal RNA". The stretch from base 1 to 105 matches the Rfam family "5.8S ribosomal RNA", at positions 50 to 154 of the family's 154-position model. The record is from RNAcentral.